Molecule: long non-coding RNA, 1024 nt
Filed under: Chinchilla lanigera (long-tailed chinchilla)
Lineage: Eukaryota; Metazoa; Chordata; Mammalia; Rodentia; Chinchillidae
Description: lncRNA (ENSCLAG00000026559.1)
Source: RNAcentral
AGCCAGGUAUAGCUGGUAUUAUUCUAAGCAAGUCUAUCUCAGUGGGAGGACCUGUUGAGAAGGUUACAAAAGCCUCCGAAUCCUGUCUUGAGUUGUUCCAUCUAAGUCUUUGAAAGAGAUGGUAAGAGCCUAGAAAGGACUGGUGGUGACUACAGUACCCAAUAACACAUUUGAUGAGCCUGCCAGGAGGUAACAAAUGGAACCAGGAGGUAACACUAUCUGGCAUGGUUUUGUUUUUCUCCCUCUUGGAAGCCUAUGGAAUCAAACUGAGGACUAAUUGAGUUUUUUCUUGCCUUCUCUUUCUUCACUAGGAAAGUCCCAAUCCUCUUCCUGUCCUUUUCCUCCCAAGAUGGUCAGAGAAAGGCAGAGAGGGAGAGGGUGGUAAAAGUUAAUAGAAGUUAGAGACUCCCCACCAAGCCAGUGACCAUGAGAAGAGAACCGAUGGGGUAUGGAGUAGGAAGCCCGAAGCAGUGCAUGCAGCUCAGCUCAGAUAGGGUCUGAACACCACAGAGGCAGGUGCUGGUGCCCCUAGGUGGGGUGAAGAUUGAGAAUCUUGAAAAAAAGCUUUGAAAUCAUAGUCCUCCUCGCUCGACCUGCGCCGAGAGAGCGAGUGCUCCAGGAGCUGCUGGACUCGUGGGUUCGAGUCUGUGCUCGGUUCACACUGCCACAGUUCCCAGCUGAAACACACGGAGAAAGCCAGGUAUUUCCCAGCUACUCCCUGAGGGCAGAGUGCAUGAAUCAGGACCCCGCCGACAUUACAGACGGAGCCCUGGCCUCCCUGCUACCGCAGCAGAGAGGAGGUUUUCACUCAGAAGCCCCAGGGACUUCUCUGGCUGGGGACAGGGUGAGCAGACUCUCCCAGACCCCACGCACCCUGCGCCGAGUAAGCGAGUGCUCCAAGAGCAGCUGACCUGCUGUUUGAGUCUGAGCUUUGCCUUUGCCCAGACCCCCUAGUGAGUCAAAGGCUGGGGAAGUCUGUGACUGAUACUCAUUUGGGCUGCAUCUGGUUCCUGCAUGUGUCCUG